This 253-nucleotide ribosomal RNA is filed under the name uncultured bacterium. Its description in RNAcentral is "partial 16S ribosomal RNA". It matches the Rfam family "Bacterial small subunit ribosomal RNA", at positions 524 to 776 of the family's 1533-position model. The record is from RNAcentral.
UACGUAGGGUGCGAGCGUUAAUCGGAAUUACUGGGCGUAAAGUGUGCGCAGGCGGCUCUGCAAGUCGAGUGUGAAAUCCCCGAGCUUAACUUGGGAAUUGCGCUCGAAACUAUGGAGCUGGAGUGUGGCAGAGGAAGGUGGAAUUCCACGUGUAGCGGUGAAAUGCGUAGAGAUGUGGAGGAACACCGAUGGCGAAGGCGGCAUCCUGGACCGACACUGACGCUGAGGCGCGAAAGCUAGGGUAGCAAACGGG